Molecule: transfer-messenger RNA, 208 nt
Filed under: Clostridioides difficile
Lineage: Bacteria; Bacillati; Bacillota; Clostridia; Peptostreptococcales; Peptostreptococcaceae
Description: partial transfer-messenger RNA
Rfam family: transfer-messenger RNA
About the family: Bacterial tmRNA, also known as 10Sa RNA or SsrA, is named for its dual tRNA and mRNA-like properties. Its role is to liberate the mRNA from a stalled ribosome.
Source: RNAcentral
GUCCUCCUGCCGACUAAGACUGGACGUCAUUAUGCAGGGAACUACUUUAGGGGUGUCUCGACCUGAAGUAGAUUAAUUGGGACUGGCUAAGCAUAGAGCCUGCCACUUGGCGCUAUGUGAGGUGAGAUAUUAGUGAAGUUGGCUAAGCAUGUAGAUGCAGCAAGGAAAAGAUUUGCGGACAGGGGUUCGACUCCCCUCGUCUCCACCA